GAAGUUUCCGUUUUACUUGAUGCCCCCAAACAACACGUGUCUGUAGAGUGUCAAGUGAGCACGCCGCCGCAGUAAGUUCACUCAAGAGUUUUGCUACGUUGGAAAAUGUUCCCUGAGAAAGCGAAAAUCCCGAAACCCAAUCCUCUGGCAAAAGCGGGAAUUUUUUCACAGCUUUUCUUGUGCUGGCUGAGUCCUUUCCUGCAUCUCGGACACAAGCAAAGACUGGAAGCAGGUGACCUCUACACAAUACUUCCUGAAGAUGAAUCGGAAGUACUUGGACAAGACCUGCAGAGGUGCUGGGAACUUGAAGUUAAAAGGGCAACCAAACAACUACGGAAGCCCACACUGACCAAAGUCCUUAUUAAGUGCUAUGGGAAGUCUUUCGCCGUCGCGGGAAUCUUUGCGUUUUCCUUGGUAUGCACUGAAACUCCCUUUUUUUUUUUUAUUGAUGUUGAAAUGACUAGAAAUUGGAUUCCACGCUUAUGUGACAAUAAAGAGACCCCCAGUAGGUAAAAAAAAAAAAAAAAUGAGGGGAAAAA
Long non-coding RNA from Hippocampus comes (tiger tail seahorse), 539 nucleotides. RefSeq lists it as uncharacterized. The record is from RefSeq and is a predicted model, not a curated record. Lineage: Eukaryota; Metazoa; Chordata; Actinopteri; Syngnathiformes; Syngnathidae. The transcript has 3 exons.